UCCAAUCUGAUUUUCUGAGCUUUUCUGAACUUUUUGUUUUGUUUUGUUCAUACGGUGAUACAAUCUGAUUUUCCAGCGACAAUUCUUAAUUUUUAAUAAAGAAAACUAAACCCUAAUAGGAUACAAUCUAGUGAACCCAAAGGUUGGAUCCGAAGAAGAUGAUUGAAGCGUUUAACAGCGAUGAAGCCACCAUUAUCAAGGCGAGGCUCACAGUCGUCAUCGCCGCUGUUCAUAAAGUCGAGAUUGAAAUUUAGUCAUUUUGUAAAUUAAGAUCUUAGCACCAACUUCUACUGCUUUCUUCUCACCACCGGUCCACCACACAAACCGCCGUUAUCACUGGAUCUCAUCAUCACCACCGUCUCAUUUUCAACGUCGUCUUUUCGUAUCUCUCCUCGUCGUCACCGGAUCUCACCGUCGUCAUCGGAUUUUACCAUCGUUACCGAAUCUUAUGAUCGUUACUACUUUCGGGUUCACUUGAUUUCAUCAUCCUCACAUUCACCAGAUUCCAUAACCUUCACCAUCAUCUCCACAAAUCAUUGUUGACCACAAAUCGUUGUUGAUAUCACAUAGUAUAAGUUUUGUUUAGGUUGAACAAUCGAAGAAAGAAAAUUGAGGACAAAAUUGUCUUUGUACAAUCUAAAAAAGCCUAAAUCUAUAAGUAUGGAUAGAAAGUCUUUAUCCUACAAUACUCAUGAAAAAAAAUGCCAAUCUCAUAAUUAACUCCAUAUAAAAUACCACAGCCAUGAGUUUUUAAAAAAAUGUCUCCCAAAUUGAAAGUUAUCAAUUUCGGGAGUCCUAGGCUAGGACUCCUAGCCAUUGCAAGUUGCUUCUAGAAAUCCUAACUAUUUCAUAUAAGAUGUAAAUUAUUUAAUAGAAUCACUGGCCACAAACUUCACUUAAGAUGCAUCAGAUCAGAUCAAUAACUCAGGCUAGAUUCUUUAUUUAAUAUGCAAUUUUUGUUUCCAAAAACCCAAGAAAUUAUUGCAAACGAUGAAAAAAAAAAAAAAAAA
Camelina sativa (false flax) is the source of this 1010-nucleotide non-coding RNA. The record is from RefSeq and is a predicted model, not a curated record. NCBI's taxonomy places the organism in Eukaryota, Viridiplantae, Streptophyta, Magnoliopsida, Brassicales, Brassicaceae.